CCUACGGGAGGCAGCAGUGAGGAAUAUUGGUCAAUGGGCGCGAGCCUGAACCAGCCAAGUAGCGUGAAGGAUGACUGCCCUACGGGUUGUAAACUUCUUUUAUAAAGGAAUAAAGCGCGGGACGUGUCCCGUUUUGUAUGUACCUUAUGAAUAAGGAUCGGCUAACUCCGUGCCAGCAGCCGCGGUAAUACGGAGGAUCCGAGCGUUAUCCGGAUUUAUUGGGUUUAAAGGGUGCGUAGGCGGCCUUUUAAGUCAGCGGUGAAAGUCUGUGGCUCAACCAUAGAAUUGCCGUUGAAACUGGGAGGCUUGAGUAUGUGUGAGGCAGGCGGAAUGCGUGGUGUAGCGGUGAAAUGCUUAGAUAUCACGCAGAACCCCGAUUGCGAAGGCAGCCUGCCAAGCCAUGACUGACGCUGAUGCACGAAAGCGUGGGGAUCAAACAGGAUUAGAUACCCUAGUAGUC
This 460-nucleotide ribosomal RNA is filed under the name uncultured bacterium. RNAcentral's name for it is "partial 16S ribosomal RNA". It matches the Rfam family "Bacterial small subunit ribosomal RNA", at positions 338 to 795 of the family's 1533-position model. The record is from RNAcentral.